RNAcentral lists this ribosomal RNA (305 nucleotides) under uncultured bacterium. RNAcentral describes it as "partial 16S ribosomal RNA". It matches the Rfam family "Bacterial small subunit ribosomal RNA", at positions 337 to 658 of the family's 1533-position model. The record is from RNAcentral.
GCCUACGGGGGGCAGCAGUGGGGGAUAUUGCACAAUGGGGGGAACCCUGAUGCAGCGACGCCGCGUGGGUGAAGGAGUGCUUCGGCAUGUAAAGCCCUAUCGGCAGGGAAGAAGCAAGACGGUACCUGACUAAGAAGCCCCGGCUAACUACGUGCCAGCAGCCGCGGUAAUACGUAGGGGGCGAGCGUUAUCCGGAUUCACUGGGGGUAAAGGGAGCGUAGACGGCCAAGCAAGCCAGGGGGGAAAACCCGGGGCCCAACCCCGGGACUGCCCUUGGAACUGCAUUGGUGGAGUGCGGGAGGGGG